This 69-nucleotide transfer RNA is filed under the name Moenkhausia costae. RNAcentral's name for it is "tRNA-Pro". It matches the Rfam family "tRNA". From Rfam's summary of the family: Transfer RNA (tRNA) molecules are approximately 80 nucleotides in length. The record is from RNAcentral. Lineage: Eukaryota; Metazoa; Chordata; Actinopteri; Characiformes; Acestrorhamphidae.
CAGAAAAUAGUCUAGGUAGGAUGCUAUCUUUGGGAGAUAGUGGUGAGAGUUAAAGUCUUUCUUUUCUGG